CGGGUGCACUGAUCCGGCCGGGCCUUUCCCUCUGUGGAACCCCACGGCCUUCACUGGCUGUGCGGGGGAAACAGGACUUUUACUGUGAAAAAAUUAGAGUGCUCCAGGCAGGCCUAUGCUCGAAUACAUUAGCAUGGAAUAAUAGAAUAGGACGCGUGGUUCUAUUUUGUUGGUUUCUAGGACCGCCGUAAUGAUUAAUAGGGACAGUCGGGGGCAUCAGUAUUCAAUUGUCAGAGGUGAAAUUCUUGGAUCUAUUGAAGACUAACUACUGCGAAAGCAUUUGCCAAGGAUGUUUUCAUUGAUAAGGAACGAAAGUUAGGGGAUCGAAGACGAUCAGAUACCGUCGUAGUCUUAACUAUAAACUAUGCCGACUAGGGAUCGGACGAUGUUAUUUCUUGACGCGUUCGGCACCUUUCGAGAAAUCAAAGUGCUUGGGCUCCAGGGGGAGUAUGGUCGCAAGGCUGAAACUUAAAGAAAUUGACGGAAGGGCACCACCAGGGGUGGAACCUGCGGCUUAAUUUGACUCAACACGGGGAAACUCACCAGGUCCAGACACAGUGAGGAUUGACAGAUUGAGAGCUCUUUCUUGAUUCUGUGGGUGGUGGUGCAUGGCCGUUCUUAGUUGGUGGAGUGAUUUGUCUGCUUAAUUGCGAUAACGAACGAGACCUUAACCUGCUAAAUAGCCCGUACUGCUCUGGCAGUUCGCCGGCUUCUUAGAGGGACUGUCGG
This 729-nucleotide ribosomal RNA is filed under the name uncultured eukaryote. RNAcentral describes it as "SSU rRNA". It matches the Rfam family "Eukaryotic small subunit ribosomal RNA", at positions 670 to 1426 of the family's 1831-position model. The record is from RNAcentral.